CAAUUUAGUAAGAAGGAAAGGGAAAUUUCUGCCUCCAUUUGAAAAAGAACUUCGCAGUGAUAUGUCUUGACUCAGUCAUCAUGUUUUUCUGUGUAACAUUGUGCAUGACCAUGUGUGUCCUUCAGACUUGCAUUCCUUUGUUGCUCUUUCUCGCAUUUUUUGUGCCACUGACUGGUUGCCUCCUGUUUUUGACCAUUUACACUGUUGUCAUAUGUAUAUCCUUGGAUCGUCCGGACUGGAUUGCAUGUGUUUUUGUAUACUUUUUACCUGUGCAUGUAACUAUUAAACACACCACAUGUUGCAA
Long non-coding RNA from Astatotilapia calliptera (eastern happy), 304 nucleotides. The record is from Ensembl. NCBI's taxonomy places the organism in Eukaryota, Metazoa, Chordata, Actinopteri, Cichliformes, Cichlidae.